RNAcentral lists this ribosomal RNA (274 nucleotides) under uncultured bacterium. Its description in RNAcentral is "partial 16S ribosomal RNA". It matches the Rfam family "Bacterial small subunit ribosomal RNA", at positions 523 to 796 of the family's 1533-position model. The record is from RNAcentral.
AUACGGAGGGUGCAAGCGUUAUCCGGAAUCACUGGGUUUAAAGGGUACGUAGGCGGCUAAAUAAGUCAGAGGCGAAAGCCCGGCGCUCAACGUCGGAAUUGCCUUUGAUACUGUUUAACUUGAAUUAGGUUGAGGUGGGCGGAAUGUGGCAUGUAGCGGUGAAAUGCAUAGAUAUGCCAUAGAACACCAAUUGCGAAGGCAGCUCACUGGCCCUAUAUUGACGCUGAGGUACGAAAGCGUGGGGAGCGAACAGGAUUAGAAACCCCAGUAGUCC